GACGAACGCUGGCGGCGUGCUUAACACAUGCAAGUCGAACGGAAAGGCCCUGCUUGCAGGGUACUCGAGUGGCGAACGGGUGAGUAACACGUGGGUGAUCUGCCCUGCACUUCGGGAUAAGCCUGGGAAACUGGGUCUAAUACCGGAUAGGAGCCAUUUUUAGUGUGAUGGUUGGAAAGUUUUUUCGGUGUAGGAUGAGCUCGCGGCCUAUCAGCUUGUUGGUGGGGUAAUGGCCUACCAAGGCGGCGACGGGUAGCCGGCCUGAGAGGGUGGACGGCCACAUUGGGACUGAGAUACGGCCCAGACUCCUACGGGAGGCAGCAGUGGGGAAUAUUGCACAAUGGGCGCAAGCCUGAUGCAGCGACGCCGCGGGGGGGAUGACGGACUUCGGGUUGUAAACUCCUUUCGCUAGGGACGAAGCUUUUUGUGACGGUACCUAGAUAAGAGGCACCGGCUAACUACGUG
RNAcentral lists this ribosomal RNA (465 nucleotides) under uncultured bacterium. RNAcentral describes it as "partial 16S ribosomal RNA". It matches the Rfam family "Bacterial small subunit ribosomal RNA", at positions 28 to 507 of the family's 1533-position model. The record is from RNAcentral.